AAGACUAUAGACCUGCGGAGUACCUGCGGAAGGAUCAUUAUUGAAUUAUGUUUCUAAAUGGGUUGUAGCUGGCUCGUCAGAGCAUGUGCGCGCCUGUUUGGACUUCAUUUUCAUCCACCUGUGCACCUAUUGUAGUCUUUGGUUGGGUAUCAAGGAAGUGGUCAGCCUAUCAGCACUUGCUGGAUGUGAGGACUUGCAGUGUGAAAGCUUUGCUGUCCUUUACUUGAUCAUGGAGUUGUU
This 240-nucleotide unclassified non-coding RNA is filed under the name soil metagenome. RNAcentral's name for it is "partial contains 5.8S ribosomal RNA, internal transcribed spacer 2, and large subunit ribosomal RNA". The record is from RNAcentral.